Molecule: ribosomal RNA, 2047 nt
Filed under: Salmonella enterica
Lineage: Bacteria; Pseudomonadati; Pseudomonadota; Gammaproteobacteria; Enterobacterales; Enterobacteriaceae
Description: partial 23S ribosomal RNA
Rfam family: Bacterial large subunit ribosomal RNA
Source: RNAcentral
AUGAGGCGAACCGGGGGAACUGAAACAUCUAAGUACCCCGAGGAAAAGAAAUCAACCGAGAUUCCCCCAGUAGCGGCGAGCGAACGGGGAGGAGCCCAGAGCCUGAAUCAGCAUGUGUGUUAGUGGAAGCGUCUGGAAAGGCGCGCGAUACAGGGUGACAGCCCCGUACACAAAAGCGCAUGUGCUGUGAGCUCGAUGAGUAGGGCGGGACACGUGGUAUCCUGUCUGAAUAUGGGGGGACCAUCCUCCAAGGCUAAAUACUCCUGACUGACCGAUAGUGAACCAGUACCGUGAGGGAAAGGCGAAAAGAACCCCGGCGAGGGGAGUGAAAAAGAACCUGAAACCGUGUACGUACAAGCAGUGGGAGCCCCACCACUAAGCCAGUGGUGAACUCCACAUACGCAUCCUUUGCUGAAGGCAAUGGUUAACGGAGCGAAAGCGACGUUCAACCGCAAAACAAGCAGAGGGGGCUUAGUGGUGGGGUGACUGCGUACCUUUUGUAUAAUGGGUCAGCGACUUAUAUUCUGUAGCAAGGUUAACCGAAUAGGGGAGCCGGAGGGAAACCGAGUCUUAACCGGGCGUUAAGUUGCAGGGUAUAGACCCGAAACCCGGUGAUCUAGCCAUGGGCAGGUUGAAGGUUGGGUAACACUAACUGGAGGACCGAACCGACUAAUGUUGAAAAAUUAGCGGAUGACCUGUGGCUGGGGGUGAAAGGCCAAUCAAACCGGGAGAUAGCUGGUUCUCCCCGAAAGCUAUUUAGGUAGCGCCUCGUGAACUCAUCUCCGGGGGUAGAGCACUGUUUCGGCUAGGGGGCCAUCCCGGCUUACCAACCCGAUGCAAACUGCGAAUACCGGAGAAUGUUAUCACGGGAGACACACGGCGGGUGCUAACGUCCGUCGUGAAGAGGGAAACAACCCAGACCGCCAGCUAAGGUCCCAAAGUCAUGGUUAAGUGGGAAACGAUGUGGGAAGGCCCAGACAGCCAGGAUGUUGGCUUAGAAGCAGCCAUCAUUUAAAGAAAGCGUAAUAGCUCACUGGUCGAGUCGGCCUGCGCGGAAGAUGUAACGGGGCUAAACCAUGCACCGAAGCUGCGGCAGCGACACUCAGGUGUUGUUGGGUAGGGGAGCGUUCUGUAAGCCUGUGAAGGUGUGUCGUGAGGCAUGCUGGAGGUAUCAGAAGUGCGAAUGCUGACAUAAGUAACGAUAAAGCGGGUGAAAAGCCCGCUCGCCGGAAGACCAAGGGUUCCUGUCCAACGUUAAUCGGGGCAGGGUGAGUCGACCCCUAAGGCGAGGCCGAAAGGCGUAGUCGAUGGGAAACGGGUUAAUAUUCCCGUACUUGGUGUUACUGCGAAGGGGGGACGGAGAAGGCUAUGUUGGCCGGGCGACGGUUGUCCCGGUUUAAGCGUGUAGGUGUGUGUUCCAGGUAAAUCCGGUUCACUUUAACACUGAGGCGUGACGACGAGGCACUACGGUGCUGAAGCAACAAAUGCCCUGCUUCCAGGAAAAGCCUCUAAGCAUCAGGUAACAUCAAAUCGUACCCCAAACCGACACAGGUGGUCAGGUAGAGAAUACCAAGGCGCUUGAGAGAACUCGGGUGAAGGAACUAGGCAAAAUGGUGCCGUAACUUCGGGAGAAGGCACGCUGACACGUAGGUGAAGUGAUUUACUCAUGGAGCUGAAGUCAGUCGAAGAUACCAGCUGGCUGCAACUGUUUAUUAAAAACACAGCACUGUGCAAACACGAAAGUGGACGUAUACGGUGUGACGCCUGCCCGGUGCCGGAAGGUUAAUUGAUGGGGUCAGCGCAAGCGAAGCUCCUGAUCGAAGCCCCGGUAAACGGCGGCCGUAACUAUAACGGUCCUAAGGUAGCGAAAUUCCUUGUCGGGUAAGUUCCGACCUGCACGAAUGGCGUAAUGAUGGCCAGGCUGUCUCCACCCGAGACUCAGUGAAAUUGAACUCGCUGUGAAGAUGCAGUGUACCCGCGGCAAGACGGAAAGACCCCGUGAACCUUUACUAUAGCUUGACACUGAACAUUGAGCCUUGAUGUGUAG